RNAcentral lists this transfer RNA (75 nucleotides) under Candidatus Nitrosocaldaceae archaeon. Its description in RNAcentral is "tRNA-Ser". It matches the Rfam family "tRNA". From Rfam's summary of the family: Transfer RNA (tRNA) molecules are approximately 80 nucleotides in length. Their secondary structure includes four short double-helical elements and three loops (D, anti-codon, and T loops). Further hydrogen bonds mediate the characteristic L-shaped molecular structure. tRNAs have two regions of fundamental functional importance: the anti-codon, which is responsible for specific mRNA codon recognition, and the 3' end, to which the tRNAs corresponding amino acid is attached (by aminoacyl-tRNA synthetases). tRNAs cope with the degeneracy of the genetic code in two manners: having more than one tRNA (with a specific anti-codon) for a particular amino acid; and 'wobble' base-pairing, i.e. permitting non-standard base-pairing at the 3rd anti-codon position. Lineage: Archaea; Thermoproteati; Nitrososphaerota; Nitrososphaeria; Candidatus Nitrosocaldales; Candidatus Nitrosocaldaceae. The record is from RNAcentral.
GGGGGCGUAAGUUAGUCUGGAGAGACUGAGGGUCUGCUAAACCCUUAGUCGUGGGUUCAAAUCCCAUCGCCCCCA